RNAcentral lists this small RNA (67 nucleotides) under Thiocystis violascens DSM 198. RNAcentral's name for it is "int-alpA RNA". It matches the Rfam family "int-alpA RNA". Rfam says of the family: Acidobacteria (1 example), Planctomycetes (1 example), Proteobacteria. Environment (Lake Washington) The record is from Rfam by way of RNAcentral. Lineage: Bacteria; Pseudomonadati; Pseudomonadota; Gammaproteobacteria; Chromatiales; Chromatiaceae.
GCCGGGUCUAGGCUGAUCCCCGAAAAGGCAGACCCUUCACCGCCCUGGCCCGGCACCUUUUUGAAGG